UACGUAGGGGGCAAGCGUUGUCCGGAAUCAUUGGGCGUAAAGAGCGCGUAGGCGGUCCGGUAAGUCCGCUCUGAAAGUCCGGGGCUCAACCCCGGGAGGCGGGCGGAUACUGUCGGGCUAGAGUCCGGAAGAGGCGAGUGGAAUUCCUGGUGUAGCGGUGAAAUGCGCAGAUAUCAGGAGGAACACCAAUUGCGAAGGCAGCUCGCUGGGACGGUACUGACGCUGAGGCGCGAAAGCGUGGGGAGCAAACAGG
RNAcentral lists this ribosomal RNA (253 nucleotides) under uncultured bacterium. RNAcentral's name for it is "partial 16S ribosomal RNA". It matches the Rfam family "Bacterial small subunit ribosomal RNA", at positions 524 to 776 of the family's 1533-position model. The record is from RNAcentral.